RNAcentral lists this ribosomal RNA (116 nucleotides) under Carlito syrichta (Philippine tarsier). The record is from RNAcentral. Lineage: Eukaryota; Metazoa; Chordata; Mammalia; Primates; Tarsiidae.
GUCUACGGUCAUACACUCUGAACAUAUCCGAUCUCGUCUAAUCUCGGAAACUAAGCAGGGUCAGGCCUGGUUAGUACUUGGAUGGGAGACCUGUCUAGAUUUCUAAUUGGCAGAAU